UGCAAGUCGAGCGAACAGAUAAGGAGCUUGCUCCUUUGACGUUAGCGGCGGACGGGUGAGUAACACGUGGGUAACCUACCUAUAAGACUGGGAUAACUUCGGGAAACCGGAGCUAAUACCGGAUAACAUUUGGAACCGCAUGGUUCUAAAGUGAAAGAUGGUUUUGCUAUCACUUAUAGAUGGACCCGCGCCGUAUUAGCUAGUUGGUAAGGUAACGGCUUACCAAGGCAACGAUACGUAGCCGACCUGAGAGGGUGAUCGGCCACACUGGAACUGAGACACGGUCCAGACUCCUACGGGAGGCAGCAGUAGGGAAUCUUCCGCAAUGGGCGAAAGCCUGACGGAGCAACGCCGCGUGAGUGAUGAAGGGUUUCGGCUCGUAAAACUCUGUUAUUAGGGAAGAACAAAUGUGUAAGUAACUGUGCACAUCUUGACGGUACCUAAUCAGAAAGCCACGGCUAACUACGUGCCAGCAGCCGCGGUAAUACGUAGGUGGCAAGCGUUAUCCGGAAUUAUUGGGCGUAAAGCGCGCGUAGGCGGUUUCUUAAGUCUGAUGUGAAAGCCCACGGCUCAACCGUGGAGGGUCAUUGGAAACUGGGAAACUUGAGUGCAGAAGAGGAAAGUGGAAUUCCAUGUGUAGCGGUGAAAUGCGCAGAGAUAUGGAGGAACACCAGUGGCGAAGGCGACUUUCUGGUCUGUAACUGACGCUGAUGUGCGAAAGCGUGGGGAUCAAACAGGAUUAGAUACCCUGGUAGUCCACGCCGUAAACGAUGAGUGCUAAGUGUUAGGGGGUUUCCGCCCCUUAGUGCUGCAGCUAACGCAUUAAGCACUCCGCCUGGGGAGUACGACCGCAAGGUUGAAACUCAAAGGAAUUGACGGGGACCCGCACAAGCGGUGGAGCAUGUGGUUUAAUUCGAAGCAACGCGAAGAACCUUACCAAAUCUUGACAUCCUUUGAAAACUCUAGAGAUAGAGCCUUCCCCUUCGGGGGACAAAGUGACAGGUGGUGCAUGGUUGUCGUCAGCUCGUGUCGUGAGAUGUUGGGUUAAGUCCCGCAACGAGCGCAACCCUUAAGCUUAGUUGCCAUCAUUAAGUUGGGCACUCUAGGUUGACUGCCGGUGACAAACCGGAGGAAGGUGGGGAUGACGUCAAAUCAUCAUGCCCCUUAUGAUUUGGGCUACACACGUGCUACAAUGGACAAUACAAAGGGCAGCUAAACCGCGAGGUCAUGCAAAUCCCAUAAAGUUGUUCUCAGUUCGGAUUGUAGUCUGCAACUCGACUACAUGAAGCUGGAAUCGCUAGUAAUCGUAGAUCAGCAUGCUACGGUGAAUACGUUCCCGGGUCUUGUACACACCGCCCGUCACACCACGAGAGUUUGUAACACCCGAAGCCGGUGGAGUAACCAUUUAUGGAGCUAGCCG
RNAcentral lists this ribosomal RNA (1420 nucleotides) under Staphylococcus pseudoxylosus. RNAcentral describes it as "bacterial SSU rRNA". It matches the Rfam family "Bacterial small subunit ribosomal RNA". The record is from RNAcentral. Lineage: Bacteria; Bacillati; Bacillota; Bacilli; Caryophanales; Staphylococcaceae.